Loxodonta africana (African savanna elephant) is the source of this 4136-nucleotide long non-coding RNA. RefSeq lists it as uncharacterized. The record is from RefSeq and is a predicted model, not a curated record. The transcript has 3 exons. NCBI's taxonomy places the organism in Eukaryota, Metazoa, Chordata, Mammalia, Proboscidea, Elephantidae.
GUUUCCAGCUGAGAAAGCAGCAGGGGCGUCACUGCCUGAAACCAUGUACUUGAGAACACAGGCUGAAAACACUACCCGUGACUCUCCAUUCUGGAAAUUACAUAACCAAUAAAACAAUACUUUGUUACAAUGAAGACUAAAAUAAAAGAGGAGGACAUUCUUACCAAAGUUUAAGAACUAUGGAAGGCAUAGGGAAGGAAGUUUCCCCAGACUCAGGCUACCUCAAACUUAGUCUGCCUUAUGCUGGACAGCAAAGGUUUCUGGACUUGAAAACCCCACAGGAGUAUUCUGAGUUGUGGAGACCCUAAGGAGGGCUCACCACAGGCAGCCAGUCACACACUGACCCCACACUGGCCAUGUCCCCUGUGCAGGAAAGAGUACACAGGAUCCCACUGACCCCUAGACCUGCCCCUAAGUGCCCCCUCCUUCUGCUGGCUUGCCCAGUAUUCACGGACAGUUCCCUGUCUUAGUCAUCUAGCGCUGCUGUAAUGGAAAUACCACAAGUGGGUGGCUUUAACAAACAGAAACUUAUUCUCUCACAGUUUAGGAGGCUAGAAGUCCGAAUUCAGGGCGCCAUCUCUGGCGUAAGGCUUUCUCUGCUGGCUCUGGGGUAAUGUCUUUGUCUCUUCAGCUUCUAUUCCUUGGCUCCUUGGUGAUCUUCACGUGGCAUGGCGUCUAUCUUCUCCCAUCUCUGCUUGCUUGUUUAAUCUCCUUUAUAUCUCAAAAGGGAUUGACUCAACACACACCCUACACUAAUCCUGUCUCACAAACAUAAUACAGAAAACCCAUUCCCAAAUGGGAUCAUAACCACAGGUGUAGGAGUUAGGAUUUACACUACAUAUUUUGGGGGGACACAUUUCAGUCCGUGACAUCCCCCAGCCUCAAAGGGGUCGUGCCUGUGCAGAGCCUCCUGGGAAGGUCUGAAGGGGAUCUGAGGAUGGCGAGAUGAAGGGUUAUCUGGCAACACAGCUCCUGAAGGUCAGCAGGGUAAGAGGUUCUAGAUGGAGCAACCCAGAGAGGCCCAGGGGAGACAGAGGCAGAACCAACAGGCAAAGGGCCAGCAGUGAGAGCCAGGAAACUUGCAGGAACAGAGGAACAGAGUGGCACGGAAGGACAGGUUACUGGCAAAAAAGAGCCUUGGUGGCUGUCCUCACCUUUGCUGCCUCAUCUCCUCUAUCUCGGGUGAAACCCGAUCCUAAGUCAGUUUGUCCUGAAAGUCUGCAGGUGGCAUCUUGCGGCCCAGAUAGCUGGGUGGCUAUGGCAGGGCAGAAGCAAGGCCUGGCAGAAGUGGUUCCUGCCCCAUUUGAUCUCUCCCGGGGCAGCAAGGCCUCUUGGUCUUGACUUGUUAUUGCUCAAUUUCCCUGUUGCUGACCGUUGAACAAUGCACAGGGCGACCGCCCACUGGAGGAAAAAUGUUUUUCUCUCGGUGGAAGAAGUAAUGCUAACCAAUGAUCCAUUCAGCCUGCAAAGCAAAUGUGUUUGCUAAGCCAACACUUAUCUGAUGACAAACGUUUGCUGGGAUACACACAAAUAUCACUACGAUCUGUGGUCAUGGAUGAGAACCAAAUCCCGGAGGAUGUAGAUGAGUUGAUGCAUGGGGCGUCGACGUACGAAGUCCAGCAGUCCAGGGCAGGAAAGCAUGGUUGGUAAGAAUACUGGCAGAACUGGCCUGUUCCAGAACCUUCUUUCGAAGGACACUUAUUUUAGCCAUUAGAAGAGACCUGGGAAACUCAAGGUGGCACUGCAACCUGCAGGGCUCACUGGGCCCAGCCCUGACUAUGAAUCCCUGGUGUAGUUGUAGUAGGGGUGGACAGAGAGGAGGAAGUAGAGCGGGGCAGCAAUGGGCCUGAACCUGAACUGAAGACUCAGCUUUAUAGGAUGUGGGAGGACCAGCCAGGACAUCUGGGAGUGGGGUCAAGGGCAGUUGAGGCAAAGAACUGCUUUUAGAAAUAAUAUAUCAGUUUAAAGAUAACUUCCCCGCUCUCAGACGGUUUUACUAACUGCUCUAAUUUGGAAAUGUUCUGUGGUUCAAGGCUGACACCCAUAAGCUGAGCACUUCUUAAGCCAUGACCUGAAGACUUGAAACCCCAGGCUUGGAAUGGACCAGUCUGUUUUCCUGGGACUUGUGUUAAGGUUGCAUUUAGCACUACGCUGUUCCAGGACUUUGAAGAAACACACGUUGCUGUGGCACAAGAUAUGGAAGAGAGAAGUGAGCAGAGACAUGGGGACCUCAUACCACCAAGAAAGCAGCACUGGGAGCAGAGUGCGUCCUUUGGACCUGAGGUUCCUGGGCUGAGAUGCUCCCAGACCAAGGAAAGACAGAUGACAAGGACCUUCUUCCAGAGCCAACAGAGAGAGAAAGCCUUCCCCUGGAGCUGGUGCCCUGAACUCGGACUUCAAGCCUACUGGACUGUGAGAGAAAAAAUUUCUCUUUGUUAAAGCCAUCUACUUGCGUUAUUUCUGUUAUAGCAGCACUAGGUGACUAAGACAGCAUCCUCCAUCUCAAACGUCACUUCCUCAGGAAGUGAUCUCUGAUCCCCAGGCUAGGUCAGCUCUUGCCCUCCCUCCAGCCCCCAAUCUCCCCGAUGAUUCCAACCACAGCUUGCUGAAUUACUUGGCACAUAGUAGGUGCUCAAUAAGUAUUUGCUGAAAGACAGUAUGACUCACCCAUCUUCAAGCAGUGAUGUUGGACUAACCAACCUGUUGGCUCUGAAGCCAAGUUGCAGAGUGAUUUUGGUAAGUGUUGUAAUCAAUCUAGAUCAACAUUUUCCAUGCUGUGGAUGACAAUCCAUAGUAGGUUGGAAAUUAAUUUGAUGGGUCAUGUUCGGCAUUAAAAUAUCCUUUAGUUGUUUGCGUGUGAGUGUAUGUAUACUGGUCUGUGAUAUAAAAUGCAUUUCUUACUGUGUUCCCCAGUCAAAAAGUUUGAAAGCCCUACCUCUAAAUCUCUUUCCCAAGUACGGAUGAAGGCAUUGGAUUUUAUGUUCUCUAAAAAAAAAUUUUUUUUCUUUUUUUUAACACCCUCAGUCUCCUUUUUAGGUUCAUUUUUCUGUCUUAAACUUUUGUAUUCCACAACUCUUCUUACUCUAUACUCUCUAGACCUUAGAGAAAUCAAGGUUUCAAUUUACUCUACAAUCAUGGUGGCUUUCAAGCAUAUCUCCUUCUCCAGCUGACAGCUCUACCCUGAGCUCCCUACAUGCCCUCUUCAACCAAAAACCAAACCUAUUGUCAUCGAGGCAGUUCCGACUCAUUGCAACCCUAGAGGACAGAGCAGGGCUGCCACAUAGGGUUUCUGAAGAAUGGCUGGUAGAUUCAAACUGCUGACCUUUUGGUUAGGAGCUGGGCUCUUACAGACACCUCUAACUCUACAUGUCGAAACCAACAACAGCAGCAGCUACCAUUUAUUGCUGAUAAAGUAUGUAUGAAGGGCUUCAUUGUUUGGUCCUACAAGAAUCUUAUGCAGCAAAUCCUAUGUAUUACCUCUUAUGACUUCUGUUUUAUAUAGAUGAAGAAACUCUGAGGCACAGGGAAUUUAAAUACUUCCCCUCCCCCUGACCACACACCUAGCGAGUUCACAAUCUGAAUCCUGGAAUGUCUGACGUCCAUAUCAUAUUUCUGCAAUGUUUUCCUAACUGCACGCCCCCCAUCACCGCAGUUCUCAAACCAUCUUGUAACUGGUUACUUGCUGUAGCCCCCAGCAGACUGCAAGGUCCACGAAUGCCAAGAUGCCACCUAUCCUUUGUACUGCCAGCACCUAGCACAGUUUUCGACUCCGAAUUUUUUUCUUGAAUGAAAGGAAGAGUGAAUGAAUUUUAAAAUUCUAUGACUGGCUAGCAAGUAAGGCAAGCAGGGAGAGAGCCAGUCAGAGUGAGGACAUGCAUCUACUUAACAUUUUGUGUUUUCAGUAAAUACAAUGUAAUUGUCUGGGUGGAAGGAGCCCUGGUGGCACAGAAGUUAAGGUGCUCGGCUACUAACUGAAAGGUUGGUAGUUUGAACUCACCAGUUGCUCCGCAGGAGAAAGGUGUGGCAGUCUGCUUCCAUACUAAAGAUUACAGUCUUGGAAACCCUAUGGGGCAGUUCUACUCUCUCCUAUAGGGUUGCCAUGAGUCCGAAUCGACCCAAUGGCAACAGGUUUUUUU